RNAcentral lists this ribosomal RNA (497 nucleotides) under uncultured bacterium. Its description in RNAcentral is "partial 16S ribosomal RNA". It matches the Rfam family "Bacterial small subunit ribosomal RNA", at positions 28 to 507 of the family's 1533-position model. The record is from RNAcentral.
GAUGAACGCUGGCGGCGUGCCUAAUACAUGCAAGUCGAGCGAACGGACGAGAAGCUUGCUUCUCUGAUGUUAGCGGCGGACGGGUGAGCAACACGUGGAUAACCUACCUAUAAGACUGGGAUAACUUCGGGAAACCGUAGCUAAUACCGGAUAAUAUUUUGAACCGCAUGGUUCAAAAGUGAAAGACGGUCUUGCUGUCACUUAUAGAUGGAUCCGCGCUGCAUUAGCUAGUUGGUAAGGUAACGGCUUACCAAGGCAACGAUGCAUAGCCGACCUGAGAGGGUGAUCGGCCACACUGGAACUGAGACACGGUCCAGACUCCUACGGGAGGCAGCAGUAGGGAAUCUUCCGCAAUGGGCGAAGGCCUGACGGAGCAACGCCGCGUGAGUGAUGAAGGUCUUCGGAUCGUAAAACUCUGUUAUUAGGGAAGAACAUAUGUGUAAGUAACUGUGCACAUCUUGACGGUACCUAAUCAGAAAGCCACGGCUAACUACGUG